UAGUUUUNGGGCCGGCUUGGAACCCCNCCCCAGUGCCNCAAGGAAAGCCGUUAAAGCCCNCCGCCUGGGGAGUUCCGGCCCGCAAAGGCUUGAAACCUNAAAGGAAUUGGCGGGGGAGCCCCACAAGGGGUGGAGCCUGCGGCUUAAUUGGAGUCAACGCCGGGAACCUCACCGGGGGCGACAGCAGGAUGACGGCCAGGUUGAAGACCUUGCCCGACGCGCUGAGAGGAGGUGCAUGGCCGUCGCCAGCUCGUGCCGUGAGGUGUCCGGUUAAGUCCGGCAACGAGCGAGACCCCCGCCCCUAGUUGCUACCCGGCCCCCCGGGGCCGGGGCACACUAGGGGGACUGCCGGCGUCUAAGCCGGAGGAAGGAGGGGGCCACGGCAGGUCAGCAUGCCCCGAACCCCCCGGGCUGCACGCGGGCUACAAUGGCGGGGACAACGGGGUCCGACCCCGAAAGGGGGAGGUAAUCCCUUAAACCCCGCCUCAGUUGGGAUCGAGGGCUGCAACUCGCCCUCGUGAACGUGGAAUCCCUAGUAANNNCGCGUAGCAUCGCGCGGAAUA
RNAcentral lists this ribosomal RNA (563 nucleotides) under uncultured archaeon. RNAcentral describes it as "bacterial SSU rRNA". It matches the Rfam family "Archaeal small subunit ribosomal RNA", at positions 768 to 1324 of the family's 1478-position model. The record is from RNAcentral.